UCUCUGGUGGUCCGGUGGCUAAGAUUCUGUGCUCCCAAUGCAGGGGGCCCAGGUUCAAUCCCUGGUCAGGGAA
RNAcentral lists this transfer RNA (73 nucleotides) under Bos taurus (domestic cattle). It matches the Rfam family "tRNA". From Rfam's summary of the family: Transfer RNA (tRNA) molecules are approximately 80 nucleotides in length. Their secondary structure includes four short double-helical elements and three loops (D, anti-codon, and T loops). RNAcentral also lists the same sequence under 4 other names. Lineage: Eukaryota; Metazoa; Chordata; Mammalia; Artiodactyla; Bovidae. The record is from Rfam by way of RNAcentral.